GAGUUUGAUCAUGGCUCAGGAUGAACGCUAGCGGCAGGCUUAAUACAUGCAAGUCGAGGGGCAGCGCGGGUAGCAAUACCUGGCGGCGACCGGCAAACGGGUGCGGAACACGUACGCAACCUUCCCAAAACUGGGGAAUAGCCCUCCGAAAGGAGGAUUAAUACCCCGUAACACAAUUAGGAGGCAUCUCUUGAUUGUUAUAGCUCAGGCGGUUUUGGAUGGGCGUGCGGCUGAUUAGGUAGUUGGCGGGGUAACGGCCCACCAAGCCAUCGAUCAGUAACUGGUGUGAGAGCACGACCAGUCACACGAGCACUGAGACACGGGCCCGACUCCUACGGGAGGCAGCAGUAAGGAAUAUUGGUCAAUGGACGCAAGUCUGAACCAGCCAUGCCGCGUGAAGGAUGAAGGCCCUCUGGGUUGUAAACUUCUUUUAUCUGGGACGAAAAAAGGGGAUUCUUCCUCACUUGACGGUACCAGAGGAAUAAGCACCGGCUAACUCCGUGCCAGCAGCCGCGGUAAUACGGAGGGUGCAAGCGUUAUCCGGAUUCACUGGGUUUAAAGGGUGCGUAGGUGGGCAGGUAAGUCAGUGGUGAAAUCUUCGAGCUUAACUCGGAAACUGCCAUUGAUACUAUCUGUCUUGAAUAUCCUGGAGGUGAGCGGAAUAUGUCAUGUAGCGGUGAAAUGCUUAGAUAUGACAUAGAACACCAAUUGCGAAGGCAGCUCACCACGGGAUGAUUGACGCUGAGGCACGAAAGCGUGGGGAUCAAACAGGAUUAGAUACCCCUGGUAGUUCCACGCCCUAAAACGAUGGAUACUCGACAUAUGCGAUACACUGUAUGUGUCUGAGCGAAAGCAUUAAGUAUCCCACCUGGGAAGUACGACCGCNAGGUUGAAACUCAAAGGAAUUGAC
This 910-nucleotide ribosomal RNA is filed under the name uncultured bacterium. Its description in RNAcentral is "bacterial SSU rRNA". It matches the Rfam family "Bacterial small subunit ribosomal RNA", at positions 9 to 914 of the family's 1533-position model. The record is from RNAcentral.